This 270-nucleotide ribosomal RNA is filed under the name uncultured prokaryote. RNAcentral's name for it is "partial 16S ribosomal RNA". It matches the Rfam family "Bacterial small subunit ribosomal RNA", at positions 524 to 794 of the family's 1533-position model. The record is from RNAcentral.
UACGUAGGGUGCAAGCGUUAAUCGGAAUUACUGGGCGUAAAGGGUGCGCAGGCGGUUCGGAAAGAAGGAUGUGAAAUCCCAGGGCUCAACCUUGGAAUGGCAUUCUUAACUACCGGGCUAGAGUGUGUCAGAGGGGGUGGAAUUCCGCGUGUAGCAGUGAAAUGCGUAGAGAUGCGGAGGAACACCGAUGGCGAAGGCAGCCCCCUGGGAUAACACUGACGCUCAGGCACGAAAGCGUGGGUAGCAAACAGGAUUAGAUACCCUGGUAGU